UUUAAAGAAAGAACGCAUCAUGUUAGCAGGAAGACAUUUAGUCAACAGAUACACGCUUGCAGCGACAGUAGGCCUCGGUGCAGCACUCUAUCAAGCUGAGAUGUUGUGGAUUUCGCUCUCCGUAGCUGUCUAUGUCGUGGUGCUUUUUAUUGGACUCAUCAUUGGUUUUUCUCUGGUGGCAUCUUCUGGGAGGCAACGAAGACCAUCCUCUGGGCAGAGCCUUCCGUCCUCUUCUCAAGCUCUCAUCCUGAAAAUGAUGGAAAUGCGAACAAGAAAGAAAAAGCGAAAACGAAGGGGCGUGGUGAUAUCCAGAGCCAUGGAUAAAGCCAUCAAAGAAGUGUUUGAUUUAGUUGUUCAAGAUUUUAUUAUGGUCUGGUACAGAGACCUUGGCAAGGAUUAUACUACAUUCAUAUCAGCUCUGGAGUGCGGUUCAUGGCUCUGGAUGUUACUGAAAAAUUAUGUGAUCACUUCAGGGAACUUCGGGAGACAUCACCAAGCACUGAAGGUGGAGGGAAACUACAACCUUUCCAGUUGCAUCCCUGUUUAAAAAGUGACGUUGCAGAGACAGAAUUCCUACGGGAAGCAACUGAAGUUUUACUUGUUCUAUUGUUGCCGGAGAGGAUAGCCAGCUCCGAGACUGCACGUCAUGUCAUACGUGAAAUAGUGACAUGUUCAGGUGUCACAUUUUAACUGAAAUUAUGCAAGCAACCAACAUUCAAAAUAUGAAGAAGGCAAAGGGAUUAGAAUUAGGAACAAAGACAUCAAAGGGAGCUGGUAAAGGAGAGCUGUUGAAGGCACGUAAUCUGAAAAGAUACCUCAACCAGGUAAGU
Anneissia japonica is the source of this 830-nucleotide RNA transcript. RefSeq lists it as uncharacterized. The transcript has 6 exons. Lineage: Eukaryota; Metazoa; Echinodermata; Crinoidea; Comatulida; Comatulidae. The record is from RefSeq and is a predicted model, not a curated record.